UGUAGAAUUUGGUAAUUUGGAAAAUUUAAAAUAUGGAAAUUUGGAAAAUUAAAAAUUUGAAGUUCCCGCCAAACCCGAAGACGAGUAGUCGAACACUCCUACACUAGUCCUAACCCAAAGGAAGUCCCUAAGUCACCGUCUUUAAAAUCGCGUUCAAUUUAUAAACCGCGUCUAACCGCAGAGAACUACAGUCGUGUUUUUGGCAUCAGUCGCGUAUAAUAAAAUGUAGAAAAAUCUAUAUUUUAUUAAAUCGUGCAUCGACGCGCACUGUAAAUUCUUUUUGUUGGAUAAAAUCGACGAAAGAUAAAGCUUACAAUUUACGUAGGUGUUUUUCUUGUAAGUACGUUAUUCUCCAUUAAAUUCUAUAUCGAGUAUCAAAUCCGAGACACAUCGAAGAGAGAUUUUUAUCUACUGAACCAGCUAUUCAAUCAACUAUCCGUUUUUUCCCAUACGUUUAUAUAAACCGCUAUAAGCUCAGAAUAUAAUAUAUAUGUAUAUAUAAUAAAUAUAUGUAUAUUAGAUGAAUUUAUCGAGGGUUCUUCCCAAACGUGGAUACAAAGAGUUUUAAAAUGGAGACAAUUCGAGUAAUUUUCGCUUAUUCACUUUCUAUAUUAAUGCACGUGGUAUAUGAUUACAAGAAAGAUAGCCUGAAGUGAGCUGCUCCAGUGAGCCGAAAAAAAUCAGAAGAUACAAAGUAAGCGUUGACGGCACGACAAUGUCAGUUUUUCCCAAAAGAAAAUGCAACAAUCUCUUAUCGUAUGUACUUAUCAAUUAGUAUUAUUAAUAAUGCGUUAAAGUAAUCGAUUAUUAUAAGACGUUUAGACAAGUUUUAAGAGGUUAUAUAUAUGUAUAUAUAUCGAUAUUAGCUUAAACAAGAUUUUUGUACUUUCUUAGAAAAUUGCAUAGCACGAGUAACUAAUUCAGCGUUUUCUAACAGAAAUCAUAAAAGGUCACUGCGAUUGUGGCGCCAUUAACACCGACUUCAAGCACGAACGAUCGCUUCCGACCGUGGAAACUAUGAAAAUUCCUAGAUCCAUCGGGUAACGUUAAAAAAUAUACCGAUUCCAGCUAUCAAUUGCGAGCUAACCUGUCGCUAUUAACGCAUGCGAAAGACAUCAACGGAGAGAACGACGGUGUGCGAAGCGCGGAUAUUACAGUUACGAUUCGUUAGAUUAAGAUCAUCCGAACAUGGAAAGACUACGAUUGGAAAAUUUAUUGUUCACGGAUGACGGAUUUACGGAUAUUCGACUGGAUUCAAUAUGAUUGCAAGUUUAGUAAUUUCAAGAUUAGGAAAUUCAGAAAUUGGUGAUCGAACAUUCGGAUGAUGGGUAAUAUUACACCACAGGCACGAAACAGUCCAACUAACAGCAGUCGUCCCUAUUCGGUGAAAAUUUAAUAAGUAAUGUUACCGACAGUGAGUUAACAACGUUAUCGACAGAGGAAAUUUCGUGAGUUAGGAACGUUACCGACAGAGAAAAUUUCAUGAGUCAGCAAGGUUACCAACAGUGAAAAUUUCGUGAGUCAACAACAUUACCGACAGUGAAAAUUUUGUGAGUCAGCAAAGUUACCGACAGAGUAUAUAUAAAAUACAUAGAAUUAAAAAAUUAUUUAAAUACACUCAAAGGGUUAAAUAAACGUUCCCUUGAUUCAACGAGUUUUUUCCCCCACAGUUUCACUAAAUGGCAUCAUCUACUACUAACUGUUCGGACACUUCAGGAGUUGAUUUACAUACAUCAGAAAUUCUCCUGCGAACAAACGAAAUUCCACGAACACCUAAUCGUCGCUUGAAUAAUUGAGGUUUUCCUUUGCAAUUUUACUGGUGGGAUGUCUGGCCAACGUGUGAGCGGCGGUUACCACUUGGGGACCAUAUAUUCUCAAGUU
RNAcentral lists this long non-coding RNA (1881 nucleotides) under Megachile rotundata (alfalfa leafcutting bee). Its description in RNAcentral is "uncharacterized LOC105663139, transcript variant X2". The record is from RNAcentral. Lineage: Eukaryota; Metazoa; Arthropoda; Insecta; Hymenoptera; Megachilidae.